RNAcentral lists this ribosomal RNA (501 nucleotides) under Pseudomonas sp. RNAcentral describes it as "bacterial SSU rRNA". It matches the Rfam family "Bacterial small subunit ribosomal RNA", at positions 219 to 712 of the family's 1533-position model. Lineage: Bacteria; Pseudomonadati; Pseudomonadota; Gammaproteobacteria; Pseudomonadales; Pseudomonadaceae. The record is from RNAcentral.
UCUCAGAUGAGCCUAGGUCGGAUUAGCUAGUUGGUGAGGUAAUGGCUCACCAAGGCGACGAUCCGUAACUGGUCUGAGAGGAUGAUCAGUCACACUGGAACUGAGACACGGUCCAGACUCCUACGGGAGGCAGCAGUGGGGAAUAUUGGACAAUGGGCGAAAGCCUGAUCCAGCCAUGCCGCGUGUGUGAAGAAGGUCUUCGGAUUGUAAAGCACUUUAAGUUGGGAGGAAGGGCAUUAACCUAAUACGUUAGUGUUUUGACGUUACCGACAGAAUAAGCACCGGCUAACUCUGUGCCAGCAGCCGCGGUAAUACAGAGGGUGCAAGCGUUAAUCGGAAUUACUGGGCGUAAAGCGCGCGUAGGUGGUUCGUUAAGUUGGAUGUGAAAGCCCCGGGCUCAACCUGGGAACUGCAUUCAAAACUGACGAGCUAGAGUAUGGUAAAGGGUGGGGGAAUUUCCUGUGUAGCGGUGAAAUGCGUAGAUAUAGGAAGGAACACCAG